Molecule: ribosomal RNA, 511 nt
Filed under: uncultured Bacteroidota bacterium
Lineage: Bacteria; Pseudomonadati; Bacteroidota
Description: uncultured Bacteroidetes bacterium partial 16S ribosomal RNA
Source: RNAcentral
CACGGAGUUAGCCGAUGCUUUUUCUUCAAGUACCCUCGGUCAGGCUCUCGAGCCUGAUUUUGUCCCUUGACAAAAGAAGUUUACAAUGCUUGGCACCUUCGUCCUUCACGCGGCUUGGCUGGUUCAGCCUUCCGGCCAUUGACCAAUAUUCCUCACUGCUGCCUCCCGUAGGAGUCUGGUCCGUGUCUCAGUACCAGUGUGGGGGACCUUCCUCUCAGAACCCCUACGCAUCGUCGGUUUGGUGGGCCGUUACCCCGCCAACUGCCUAAUGCGCCGCAUGCCCAUCUCUGUCCGGCCGAAACCUUUCCUCCCCGGAGGAUGCCCUCCGGGAAUAUACGCGGUAUUAGCCCUACUUUCGCAGAGUUAUACCCCUGACAGAGGCAGGUUGCAUACGUGUUACUCACCCGUGCGCCACUCGCCGGCAGAUUCACCGAAGUGAAUCCCCGCUGCCGUUCGACUUGCAUGUGUUAAGCCUGCCGCUAGCGUUCAUCCUGAGCCAGGAUCAAACUCU